This 411-nucleotide ribosomal RNA is filed under the name uncultured bacterium. Its description in RNAcentral is "bacterial SSU rRNA". It matches the Rfam family "Bacterial small subunit ribosomal RNA", at positions 64 to 507 of the family's 1533-position model. The record is from RNAcentral.
GAACGAGAAAGUGGAGCAAUCCAUGAGUACAGUGGCGUACGGGUGAGUAACACGUGACUAACCUACCCUCGAGUGGGGAAUAACUCCGGGAAACCGGGGCUAAUACCGCAUAACAUCGCAAGAUCAAAGCAGCAAUGCGCUUGGAGAGGGGGUCGCGGCUGAUUAGCUAGUUGGCGGGGUAACGGCCCACCAAGGCGAAGAUCGGUAGCCGGCCUGAGAGGGCGCACGGCCACACUGGAACUGAAACACGGUCCAGACUCCUACGGGAGGCAGCAGUGGGGAAUUUUGCGCAAUGGGGGAAACCCUGACGCAGCAACGCCGCGUGGAGGAUGAAGUCCCUUGGGACGUAAACUCCUUUCGACCGGGACGAUACUGACGGUACCGGAAGAAGAAGCACCGGCUAACUCUGUG